Archocentrus centrarchus (flier cichlid) is the source of this 298-nucleotide long non-coding RNA. RefSeq lists it as uncharacterized. The record is from RefSeq and is a predicted model, not a curated record. Lineage: Eukaryota; Metazoa; Chordata; Actinopteri; Cichliformes; Cichlidae. The transcript has 3 exons.
UACCAUUUGGUGUGCCCGGGAAAUUUCGAAUGGCAGUUAUCAAGCGAAGAAGGAAGUUGGCUGGCGUGCAUCAUAAAAGAACAUCACUUGUCUGUUGUUCAUCUGCAUGAGUACCAGUGAAGGGGGUCAUCGGCCAUCAAGUUUUUGAUUUCAGUGGUUAAUAGUGAGUGCAGAGUUCGAGAGAAUCACAACAAUCCAUUUGCAGUCAACAUUCUUCUCCAGGCUUGAUGUUCAAUCUGCAAACCUAAUGAAGGCGUAUGCCAAGAAAGGAGGCGUUCAAGGGAGAAAAAUCAAGACC